This 468-nucleotide ribosomal RNA is filed under the name uncultured bacterium. Its description in RNAcentral is "partial 16S ribosomal RNA". It matches the Rfam family "Bacterial small subunit ribosomal RNA", at positions 28 to 507 of the family's 1533-position model. The record is from RNAcentral.
AACGAACGCUGGCGGCAUGCUUAACACAUGCAAGUCGAACGGAAAGGCCCUGCUUAUGUGGGGUGCUCGGGUGACGAACUGGGGAGUAGCCCUUGGGUACGCUGCACUUGACUUUAGGGUGACUUCAUACCGGUGGAGCUCUUCGCGGCAAGGAUCUCCCGCUGCUGGGUGGGGGUGGGUUGGUUUCGGCGGUUGGGGAGGGACACGCGGCUUAUGAGCUUGUUGGUGGGGUAGUGGCUUACCAAGGUUUGGACGGGUGGGCGGCCUGAGAGGGUGACCGGCCACAUUGGGACUGAGAUACGGCCCAGACUCCUACGGGAGGCAGCAGUGGGGAAUAUUGCACAAUGGGCGGAAGCCUGAUGCAGCAACGCCGCGGGCGGGAUGACGGCCUUCGGGUUGUAAACCGCUUUCGCCUGUGACGAAGCGUGAGUGACGGUAAUGGGUAAAGAAGCACCGGCUAACUACGUG